UAAUACUUUUUUUUUAAUAAUGUUUAUUUUUUUUAAAAUUUCACUUUUAAUGAGACAUUUUUGUUGUAUCCACUUUAUUGAACAGCAACACUAAAGUUCAUCAGGAAACAAUGGAAAGAGAUCAGGAUUGCAACUUUGGUUGCUGCAAUAACGAGUUUGAACACAAGGACUCUCUUUUCCUGACAAGUCUCUAUUUGGAUAAGAGACCUUUCAAGUAUAAAUUUGGAUGGGCAAUUCGGUGCUUCCAACUUUGCAGAAACGGGGUGUGGCCAGGCUCUAAGCUUCAAGAGGACCUUCUAAAAGUUCCGGUUUUCUGAACAUUGUAUCCUGUGUGUAAGAGACCUCUCUUCAGUCAAGUCUGGACCCAGUCAGACGCCAGUCUUAAAGAUAAUUGAUGAGAGAUCAUGCCAGUCCAUAUUGAAAUAGUGAAUACAUGCAAGACUUCAAGCAGUACUACAUUUCAAGUUUGGAACAUACACAGUCCUGUGUCUUCUGUCAAGUGUGGGCUCAAUACUAUUGUUCAACCAGAGCAAGCAGCCCUGAUGGAUGUACAGUAUAUGUCUUCAUUGAUUAUCCUUACUUUUAUAUAUGGACACAUUUUAUUUCCAACAUCAACACGCCUUUGUGAGUACACUGGUCAAGUUAUUGGAUCAGCUCAAACUGUUUUAACACAGUCCCUGUAUGUAGUUUCAUUAAAAUCUAAUAAUUAUAGUUUGUGCCUUCAGUUGCUAUAGACUGUAUUUACUAGUUCAUUUUGCAAUUUCAAAAACCUGAUUGAUUGUUGUAAAAUCUGUGGCAAACAACUGUAAUGUCUUUUGUGUUUUACCGUGUUUUUUACGGUAAAGUUCUGGCAACCACAGCUGCCGGUAAUUUUCUGUAAAA
Molecule: long non-coding RNA, 882 nt
Organism: Danio aesculapii
Lineage: Eukaryota; Metazoa; Chordata; Actinopteri; Cypriniformes; Danionidae
Exons: 5
Source: RefSeq, a predicted model, not a curated record